Molecule: ribosomal RNA, 433 nt
Filed under: uncultured bacterium
Lineage: Bacteria
Description: partial 16S ribosomal RNA
Rfam family: Bacterial small subunit ribosomal RNA
Source: RNAcentral
AACGAACGCUGGCGGCAUGCCUAACACAUGCAAGUCGAACGAGACCUUCGGGUCUAGUGGCGCACGGGUGCGUAACGCGUGGGAACCUGCCCUUAGGUUCGGAAUAACUCCCCGAAAGGGGUGCUAAUACCGGAUAAUGUCUUCGGACCAAAGAUUUUUCGCCUUUGGAUGGGCCCGCGUUGGAUUAGCUAGUUGGUAGGGUAAAAGCCUACCAAGGCGACGAUCCAUAGCUGGUCUGAGAGGAUGAUCAGCCACACUGGAACUGAGACACGGCCCAGACUAAUACGAGAGGCAGGAGGGGGGGAUAGUGGACAAGGGGAGAGGGCAGGAUCAAGCAAUGACGAGUGAGAAAGGAAAGCGUAAGGGGAGGAAAGCUAGUGUACAAGGGAUGAUAAUGACAGGAAAGAGAGAAUAAGAUGAGGCAAACGCAGUG